Molecule: ribosomal RNA, 226 nt
Filed under: uncultured bacterium
Lineage: Bacteria
Description: partial 16S ribosomal RNA
Rfam family: Bacterial small subunit ribosomal RNA
Source: RNAcentral
GAUCAUGGCUCAGGAUGAACGCUAGCUACAGGCUUAACACAUGCAAGUCGGAGGGGCAGCGGGAUUGAAGCUUGCUUCAAUUGCCGGCGACCGGCGCACGGGUGAGUAACGCGUAUCCAACCUUCCGUACACUCAGGGAUAGCCUUUCGAGAGAAAGAUUAAUACCUGAUGGUAUGAUGAGAUUGCAUGGUAAUCAUCAUUAAAGAUUUAUCGGUGUACGAUGGGG